Molecule: long non-coding RNA, 18413 nt
Organism: Siniperca chuatsi (mandarin fish)
Lineage: Eukaryota; Metazoa; Chordata; Actinopteri; Centrarchiformes; Sinipercidae
Exons: 2
Source: RefSeq, a predicted model, not a curated record
AUUUAUUUUUACAGCAUCUCGAGGGCUAGGGCUUGUGUCAGUGCUGCAGCACAUUCUUAACCGUUCCUUGUACUCGUGGACAACCCAUGCAGGAUUGUGACGCAUGUGCCAAAAGACCAUGGCUCAUUCACAGCUCAAUUCAUUAUAAUACUACCCAGUAUAAUAUGCAGCAAGGUUGAGUCAUUCAUGAAAGAACAUGAACAAAAGGGCAUCAAACACAUCCUUAAAGGGUAUUUUUAACCCUGGGCGCUAUUUUUCUAUAUUUUGGGGUCAAAUGACUAAUAGGUGCAAAAAGUUUUGGUCCAGUAGAUCACCUCAGCCAGCAGCAGCGAAACAGGCUGCAACGUAAUCCUCGGGGGCAAUUGGGCCUAUCAAAAGUAUGUACACUAAGUAUGCUUGUUUUUGCCACUGAGAGGCUCAGAUUGUUAUUCUAAGUGUCUGACACAAUUAUAGCAAGUAUCCCUACAGAGAUAGACCUUUGUUAAAGAUGGAUGCAUUUAUUAUAUUUUGUUGUUUAAAAUUUGGGUUUGGUCUGAGGCUACUGCGGUCACCAUCUUUGGCAAAUACUGUUACUAUGGUUACAAGUGUUCUCGUCUAUCACAACAUUAGCUGGGAACUGACUUUUUAUCUGAUCAUAUAACAGAAUGUCCAUUCAAAUAUAAUCCUACAGGCUAAUGUACAGAAUAAUGCAAUGACAAAGCCAGUGUUGUGAAGAUUGUCAAGCACUUGUACACAAGUGUAAAUGCAUGACUAAACACAAAUAUGUAAGUGUAAAAACUUAGCAUACUUAUACUGCAUCAGAUAAAAUCUCUUUAACAGACACACAGUCACAGCAUGUGAUCAUGUAUUUGAUACCAUUUGGCUUACGACAAUUGUGCUUCCAAAUAGCAUGGAUGACACUCACUUCAAAAAACAGGCAGUGGUACACACGCUCUUCAAAUUCAAUUUUAAACAAUGUGGCCACAGGCAAAGGCAGACAAACCCACUACUGUAUCAUGGAGUUACAAGCUACAACAAAUGUUGUGGCCAGCUCAACAGUCAUGCUGCCCAGACUCACUGCCUGAAUACCCAUGGCCAUCUUUUAAGAAGUAAAACCCUACACCACAGGUUGCUGUCUGAAUGAAUAAGUGGACAGCUCAAUUGUUUCCUCAAAAGAAGAUUCAAACCAAUGUGUCUCAGUGGUUUCAUCAGUUUUCUGUCAUGUAUUGCUGUGCACAGCUGAGCCACUAACAAAUGGAUGGCAGAACAGUGAUAGACAACAAGAAAAAUCAAAUGGCACUCUCUUGAAGAAGAGUGUCUCGAGAGUAAAGUCAGCAAAGCCAUCUCCAGACAAAACCUGCAUAUUAAAAUGUAUAUGCAGGCACUCAAAGUUUUGCUAGCACUGUGUUUAACUACAAAACAACCUGAAUGAACUUACAGCACAUCUGAGUCAACACACAGCAAAAUAUCAAACAUCUGUAUCUAUCAGAGCAAUAACAUGGAAUCACUACAUGUGUUCACUAAGGGACAGUGAACACAUGGGCAGUAUUGAGGCAAAACAGGAAUAAUGUAUUUCACAAUAACAAUUCAGUUACUUAGAUUACAUGUGAAACAUCCUAAUUUGACUGGUUAAGAGCUUCAUGAAUUUUUGUUCAGAUAUUACAGGAGGCUCCCAUAAAUCAUGACCAUUAUGGAGAGGUAGUACAGAGGCAGGUUACUUGCUGGAUUUUCAAAUACUAAGAUAACUAUUUUCAUUUGAGCACUAUUGCAGCAAUUACAAUCAAUGCCAUUGGUUGUUGGUUACCUCAUUGUUUGUUAUUGUCAGCCACUUUAAAUUAAAAAUGGCAAAAUGAGCCAUUGAAAUACAGCAAUAGAUGUCAAGUCAAAAUUAUAAUUUUCAGCAGGAUGUCAAACAAUGAGUGGCAGGAAAAUGAAAGUGAAAUCAAUGUCUGCCUUGGGAAAUUACCACUGUUCAUCCAUGUGUCAAGCCUUGUGUGUGUGUGGGGAUGGAAAAAAAUAACCAGGCCACACACCACUAAACACAACCAGGGUGCAAGUGACCUAGACAGAUGCCAUCAGUGAGAGAACUGACAGAGAAUAGAGAGAGCACAAGUAGGAGGCCUGAGUGCAGCAUGGAUCUAUAAAAUAUCUACCAGUAAACAAUGAUAGAAUAACAAGGAACAAAAGCACAAGAGAGAUAAUGUAGAUAAAACAUAUGGGAUGCACUUAGCUACUACAUGUAAAGAUGACAGCUUUUUUAGCUUUUUUUAAUUUAUUUUUUGGGGGCUUUUUGCCUUUAUUCGAUAGAACAGCUGCAGAAAUAGACAUGGAAUGUGGGUGAGAGAGAGGGGAUGACAUGCAGCAAAGGGCCACAGGCCAGACCCUAACCGGGCCGCUGCGGCAAGGACUCAGCCUUGUACAUGGGGCAAACGAUCUACCAGGUGAGCUACCGGGGCACCCCGAGAUGACAGUUUUUAAUGUGUUGUGGAAAAGCAAUGGAAUUUCUCUAUGUGUAUGUUUUAAAUGUUAAAGAGCCCUGUGGAUUAAUAGCUUCACACUUCGUUGAGCCUCUUCCCUUGAUAUCAUGUCACUAAUAGACCUAUUCUCUCGCACAAAUACAAAAAAGUGGCAUUUAUACACAGGUGCUUAAAACCCUACCAUCUCGAGACCUGAACUGUAAAUGAUUUUUUAUCACAAAAUUGCAUUUGCCUGUGAAAAGCACAAAAAACAUAAGCAUGUCAGCACACUACUGGAACACUGAGUAUCAAAACUGCAGCCGAUUGACUUUUUUAACGUUCGGCUCAGCAAAAGUAAACAAAAAGUGCUAGCUCCCAUACAAAUCAUGCUUCUUCCAUGCUGUGCGGAUGUGCCAGUAACCAUUACAUAGCAGUCAUCAGAUUCAAAUACAAAGUGUAUAAGUUUACAGCACAUGCAUCAACACACACGCAAACUCAUUUCAGCUAGAUGUCUACCCUCUACCAGUCACUAAUUUCCUUUCCUACCCCCUGCUCGAGGCAGGCCAACCAUACCAAUUUUAAUCCCCAAAGCUAUGUAGAAGUGCUAACAUGUGAAAAGGGAUUAAAGGUAAAAUAAGACUGUGUGUGCAUGUGUGUCUCAGAUAUGCCUGCAUUAGCAAGAUUUCAUACAACAGCUAGAUGUAGAAUAAAGGAACUUUCAUGUAGCAGGCUCAGGGCAUUUGGUCAGGUUUGUUUAAUUCAUUCCGUUUCCAAGUAGUAUGUAUAUUUCAUUUUGGAUCACUUCCACUACUUAAUAUUCAAUUCUUGUCGCAUUCUUGCCACUCAUACACGUGGCAAAGAGAAUAACAAUUACUGUCAGUUUUUUUAAACAAGUACAAGUUUGUGAGCUGUACCUCACUGGUGCCACACCUCUCUUCACGGACACCACUAUUUUCCCCUAUGUGCGUUCACCCACUCAAACACAUGUUGCCGUGCGUUGUGGUACUUUGGAGAACUCAAUCGACAUCCUACCCUUAGCUCCCCUUAGUGACUGUAAGCUGACUGUGUGGGAGGACUGGCUCUGAUCGAAUGGACUGUUGUGUUAUUGACUUCAAUUUAGAAAGUGCUGCUUGCUGCUCUCCCCCCCCCCUUUCAUAGCCGGGACCCUGCUGGCCCCUUAGCCACAGCCCACCUCAAGGGAAAAUCCCUGAUUGCACUGCUACGGAAAACACAUUUAAGCAAGGUCGCAGCUCCUGGAGUGGGGGGGAGAAAUAUCCCCCAUGGAAUAAUGACCCAUAUUCCAUUUUCAUCUUUCUUUGCAAUUGUAUCCCAAACAUAUGUUACUUCCUUCCUCAAGUCUUCCCAUAGUAAUUUAGCAAUAAUGUCAAAAUCCACUCCGGUGUCUGUUUCUCAACCUCCAGCCCUCCAUUGUCUCCUACCUGCUUAGGUGGACAGUUGCUGAAGUGUUGUAUUGUUGGAGGCUGCAGGUACAUCGGCACCCAACAUUUGAUGCUGGCUGCGCUCAUAGAUUAGACACACUUAGCUUGGCUUCUCAAAACCCCAAUAUGGGAAAAAAUGGAGACAGAGAAACAGCGGAUAUUACACAGGAAAAAUAACUGGCAGGGAGGUGAGUAAUCGCAUUUGAGAAUAGCAACACAAAACGCAUCUCCUGAACGCACACACAUACAAACUCCCAUCCCUUCUCUGCUGCAUAUACAAGUAUAAUGUUAGUUCAUGCCACAACAAUGACCCUUCAUACCUCCUUAAAGUAUACUUGACUAGUGUGUGUUUCUCAUUAUUAUGCUCACAUCAGGGAGCAGAUAGUUAAUUUGAGAACAGAUAAGGUAGACAGGCAACUAUCAGUAAUGAAAUCCAAAUUGGAGGCAUAUUAGAAAAACGUUCUGUCCACUCCCUACCUCCCGUCUGCUUUCUAACAUUGGAAAGUCAUUGGAAAGCAGUUUGCAAUAUUGUGUGUCUGUACCAAGAUAUCUGGCACAAGGCAAAAUACACAGUAAGAUAGAUGAAUAGGCUUACAAACACACAAACACAGAACUGUAAAACAAAGAUUAUUGGCAUGCACACACACACACACACACACACACACACACACACACACACAAUCUAUAUCUGCUGGACAGUGCUGCCGUAAUCUGGGUGUGGCCAGGUGGAUUUGAAAAGAUGAAAAGCUGUUUCAUUCUAUUCUUCCAUCCCUGGGUCUGUGCAGUAACAGGCCUCAGUUGGGCUAAUCCUCCCCUACAUGAAGCUUGAUGGAGAUUCUGGGAUUAACAGUUUCAUAGAAAUAACACUAUAAAGAAGGUAAUUGUUGCUGUGAUUUUAGGGAAAGGAGGGUAUUUGAAGGUCAGGGCAUCAGAGUGGGAUAGGAAAGAAAGGUGGACACUUUGAGUAUAACAAAAGAUCUGGGAGGAAGUUAAAUAAAUUCACCACCUUGGAGAUGGCAUGGUGGUUUAAGACGGUCUACAAGUAGGGAUUUCAUAUUAAUAUCUAGGGAGAUGUGCAGUUUUAGAGGCAAACUAAGCUUUUUGUAGUGCUACAUGUUUGAUACAAUUACCUCUAGCAGCAGGCUUUUCAUACUUGUCACUGUAUAAAGGCUACACAAAAAGCUAGACAAUAGUAUCGGUAUCAAGGCAAGGCAAGACAAAGCAUUUGUUAGUAUGCACAAUAAAUCACUGUUUAGACUGUCAUUUUAUCUUAUAAAAACAAGUAAGUGAACUGAGACAAGUAGAAGCAACGCAAAAGCCCAAUAUGGGACUAAUGUCACAUAUAAUGUUGCAGAGUUGAACAACUCACUAGUUAGGAAUUUUGUUUUGACCAAGCCAAGGACAUAAAAGCAAAAGAAGGAGAGGGAGGGGUGGAUCUGGAUGAAGAUGGCAUCUUUGCUCCAGAGGAGCUAAAAGUCUAGAAGAUUUAGCUGCUCUCUGCGGUGAAUUACUGUGUUUUCACCUUCACAUUGCUCAGAGAAUGAGACAUCCAUUUCCUAUGGCCUGGCAGUUGGCAAGGCAACAUUGUGAUGAACGCACAUACAGAGAUGCGCCAUGAAUUCUAAUGAGGCCAACUGACCAGUAACAUGGCCAGGGCAAGACAUUGGGAGCAUUAGCAAACGGUGAGAAAAAUGUAGAAAGAGACAACAUAUAAAAAUGCAUUAUAUCACAUGCUUGGCACAAUGAUAACACUUAAUUAAAAAAUCCAUUCUUAAAGAAAAAUGUGUCAGCAAUUAGUGAAAACAAAUGUUAAAAAGUUGAAAAUGUAAUACUUGUAAAAACACUCCUAUUUCUAAAUAUGCAUGAAGCAUCUCCUAUCUAGCUAUCUUGGUCCAUGCUGAUUGGGUUAACAGCGCUAACCUACUUGUAUCUUUCUUCUGCUUCCAGCUAACACGGCGCGAGGGCUAAUCCCUGCUCUGGCAGCCAGUAUGAACACAUACUCAACAUAAUGAAGCCCAUUAGUCUGGAGACAAUGGCUGCUAGCAAAGCUCAAACACUGACUAACACAGGAUAAGAGAAAAAAAGAGGAGUGAAAAUGCUCAUUUUUUUUACUGUGUGCAUUCAGUAGCCAUGACCUGAUAUUGCCCUCAUUUGAGAGCACACACACUGUCACACACACAAAAACAUAUGCUGAGUGAGCAAACACAAUUAACUUGAGACUGGCCUGCAAAUAGUAGACCAGAGGAACACUGUAGGAAGUAGCAAUUUAGAGAAAGAGAGUGAGGGCAAGAUGACAGAGGGAAGAACAGAGGAAGAGAGAACAAAAUAAAGGCAAGAAAGAGGGAAACAGUACAGCAAGAGCAAAAGAGAAAGGAGGAGCGCAAAAAUGAGGGGGAGAAAAAAAGAAACAGGGCAAGAACAAAGGCAGUGUAAGAAGUGUAACAAAAAGGCAAAAAAGCCAAGAAGAAAGGAGAAGGAGUGAGAAAAAAGUUGAGAGUAGGUAGAGAUUAAGAGAAGACCAAAAAAACAAAAACAACAACUACAUGACAGACUUUCCAUAUGUUUGUCAUGUAGUUGUCUUGAGUGGGAAUUUAAUGUAAUAAUGAUGGGGCACCCCAGUAGCUCACCUGUUCACCUGGUAGAGUGCAUGCCCCAUGUACCAAAGCUGAGUCCUUACCGCCCGCGGCCUUUUGCUGCAUGUCAUCCCCCCUUCUCUCUCCCCCUUUCCUGUUUAUCUUCAACUACACUAUCAAAAUACAGGCAAAAAAGCCCCCCAAAAUAAUAAAAAGAGUAAUGACAAAGCAAUUCAUUACUAGAGAAACUACAUUAAAAGCAAAAUAGUUAAUUCUUAUUAAACCAUGUUUGUCGUUUUGUUUGACUAACCUAACCUGCCCACCCAAGUUGCUCCAAAGAAAUGUGCCACCUAAAUGCAUUAAAUGAAAAUGUCAUAGGAUGUUCAAUAAAGGAUAAUGCUGAAAAUGUUAUCAUUAUUAGUAUGCUGUAUUGAGUGGAGACCACACAAGGUCAGUGAAAGAAGACUAGCAAGACUGAGCAGGUAUUGGGAUGAAACAACUCAUCCAACCUGGGCAUAGGGAAGCCUCUAGUAUACGCUAUUGCCUAUUAUAAUCUCUUGAUACGCUGGCAUAUGAUUGGUGUGUGUGUCUCUGUGUGUGAUGAGAAAAAUGAUAAACAGAAAAAAUCCCUACCAAGCAGUUUAAGCCUUUACUGGGACACUGAUAGCAGCAUGCAUGUCAGUGUGUGUGUGUGUUUUACACAUAUUCUCUUAUAGAAUGAAUUCCUGGAAAUUUAAAUGAAAAUGGGAAAGGAAGUGUCUAGUAGCAGGCUCCUUUACCUCAAGGUCAGCAUCAUAGAGUUUGGGGUGUAUGUGUUGGUGUGUGUACACAUGUUUAAGUACGGUGACCUGGAAAAAUUGGUUUAAGAUAAGAUUGUGCCAGGGUGGGCACUGGUAUGCAAAUCGGACACUGGGAUAUUACUGGAUUCUUAGAGGGCACACACACGAUUUGUAAUUUUAAGACAAGCCCAAAAAUAGUAUGCCUCUUGUCUCCUUGUUAAAAUAUGUCUCUCUUACACACACUCACUGAAAAUCAUAUGUGGAUUGCCCAAAGGCCUAUACUAUAAAUCCUUUAUCCUGGCAGUGGCAGAGGCAAUGACAUUAUCAUUAUUAGAUCUCUUAUUUGACUGUGCAUUUCUAAACUCCGAUUUUCAUUGUUGCUAUACCAUACUGCAGGCCAUUCAUCCAAAUUCAACUAGUGACAUGCACACACAUGCAAGCAGACAUAGGCUGCUGACCUUCAUGUGAUUGGCCACAGCCCAGAUAUGCUAGCAUUCAUCUCAGGGGAUGGGUUCUGUAAUGUUACAUGCAUAUAUCCAACAUGUAGGCUGACAAGGCGCACCGAAAGUAGGUCGUGCCCCAACCUACACCCAGUGCCCUCCUAGCCUGGUGCAGGGGGGGGCUCCAUAGAGCCUUGGGUGAAGCAGGGAGGACAGGGGUCACACAGCAGGGGCAUAGGGCUGCCAUGACAGGAUGAAGGUCCCACAAAUCUGACAGCUCAUAAAGCUAUCAUCGGUCAGUCCUGGAGGUAAGGCCUGACAACGCUAUUCUUGUCAAGAUAGUGUACGGAUACACUGGCAUAACCUAAACUUCGAAAGACACUUCAAAUGAAGUGUUUAGCAAGGUUUGCAAAUUCUGCAUUAGCCUGAACAACCAAAUCAGGUUCGAAAUUUGGAAUUCAGGUACACCCCUAAAAAAAGGCCAAUAUGUUGGAAAAGACUUUUCUGGUUCACCUCUUUGUUAAUGUCAGGAAUGCCAUAUGAGCCGCACACAUACACAGAGACACAUGCUGGACCUUGAGAGGACCUUGAAAAAACCUUGCCGUGAUCACAGAGUUUGGCUGACCAUCAAGCUAUGCUGGCCAUUCCAGGUCAGGAUCAAACUAUAACGCAAGGGGUUGACCACAUUUGGUCAGUGGAGCAUUACAGUGUUUGGCAGGCCAUGACCCAGGCUCCAUCAGUAGUGAGAAAGCAGAGUGUCCACUCACAGACAAAUUUAGAGUGGGAAUAGAAAAGACAGGAAUAGGACAAAUAAAACAGGUGAGGGCCAAGAGGAGAGAGCUGCCCUGGCAGCAUUGGUCAUGUUAUGAGUCAACUGAUGAUUUUGGUUAGUAGUCUGGGAUGUACUGUGCUAGGUGGGUAAAACACAUCCUGAACUCAUUUUGGGUCACUUACUCAUCAAAUGGUGGCACACCACACCUACAGAGCAGAGCACAGGCACCAUCUGACACACAAACCAAGCUAGCAGUGCCAGUAUGCACACUGUACAACAUUUGAUUUUUGUCAUCAAUAAAUCACACAGAGAACCACCAGCCUUCAUUUGCAGUUGGCUUAACUGACAACAGAUCAAUAAAAUGUUGAUGUUGUUUUGAGCAGCAUAUUUGCCACACAUCCUGCAUUUGUUUUAUAACCUGCUUAUAUGUCUGCAUUAUCUCAUGUUUGCACUUGCUCAGAGAAGGAUGCAAUAGUGCAGCACACCUUUGAUAUCACCCUCCACAUGGCCACGGUGCUAGGGAAUCCCUGUGGAAAGGAAAGGAAAUAACCUCUUUCUUAAAGGAAAAUCCCCCCUAUACUCCUGUGGCUGCCACCUCACUGUUACAUGUGCUUCAUUGAAGCCCAUUCGUAUUCAACUGCAGUGAAGUCAAGGAGAAAGUCUGUGUGUGUAUGUGUGUGUAUAAUAUAGGAGUUGGCUCUAUACUCCUGUGCCGGUGGGAAUAACGUACUGCGCUACAGGCAGUGUGACCUUUUCUAGCUGGCGUGCUUUCUCUCCUCCCUCUCCCUAUUUCUCUCUCUCUCUUUCACACGCUUACUCUCUAGCUUAGACACAAACACACACACACCUAGCAGCACUGUCACAGCUAGCUUUACUAACCAUUACUUACCCAUAGUUUCCCAGUUUAAUGGACAUGAGGCUUAUACAAAUCAUUGGAGAUAGAUGGGUGAUGGGACAGUAGGGUGCGUUUGUUUUGCCUCCUCUCCUGCAGCAGGAAGGUAAAGCAUGUCUUGUUUUCUCCUGUUCGGCUUCCUCAACAUGACCUUUAUGGCUGUGUGCUUCUUGAAGCGACAGUUUGUGCUCAAACUGAGGGUUAAGGCCUGCCUGUUUAGAGUGUUCUAACUACCUUACUACCAUACAUGAUGGGGGGGGGUGUAGACACAGAGCAGAAAAUAUUGCUCUGUCUUUUGAUUUUAUAUCAUAUACUGCACUUUCUUGUAUAUUUUCAGUCUUCAAAUGAAUACAUUCUUUCACUUUUACAACUCACUUCUUAAAUCCUACUCUGUACUAUCUAAUAUAUGGUAUUAAUAAAGUAACCUAAUCAAAUUAUUACAGUUUAAAACUUUUAGUUCCAGUGCACUGGAGAGAUUGAGAUGGAUAUAGCUUUAAAAAACAAAACUCAAGAGGAGAUUUGGUGACAAGCACAAUAAAACAGUGACAAAAAUUGAUGCAAAUGUGAGCUUGUAGGAGAUUGUAUAUAAAGAGAUAGCCAGCCAGAGAGAGUAGAGUGACACAGUGACAGAUGAAGAGUGAGCAGAGAAGGAAAGACAGCGAGGAGGGUGAGGGUGAAGUGGGUGGAGGGUGGGGGGGAGUUAAUGCACAAAACACACUGCAUCAAACCAAAGAACUGCUCCGAGCAGGAUGCGUCAGCAGUCCAUUCAUGUUCCUCUACUUUCCACUAAAGGACAAAACAAAAAAAGAGUGAGAGCGAAGGGAGAUAAAGUGAAAGAAAAUCAAAGAUAAAGAGAGAGAAAGCAGAGAAGGGAAAGAGAGAGGGCAUUAUGAGAGGGAGAGGGGAAGCGAGAUAGUGAGAGAAACAGUGUCACAUCUGCUUGCCUUUGCCACCACAGCAAUGCUGGAAAGCUUUGCCAGACUCGUUGGAAUGGCUGGAUCAUUGCUUGGGAGGAGGGGGUUAAAAUCUGGUUGCUGUGGGGAUGCCACUGUCCAUCUCUGCCUUUUGCUUGGACAGCCUAUCUAUUCCCCUAAGCCACACAAAGCCCCAGAAAGCCACAGAACAAGAGACUCUGAGCAUUAAAAAAAGAGGGUAGGACAGCAGGAGCAAACUGGUUUUUGAAGAGGUAGAUCUCUAAAAAGGUCUGAGUGCUUUGAGCUCACCCAAGUACCUUAGGACACUGCAGAGAGAGCAGGAGGGAGGCAGGGAGGGAGAGAGCGAGAGAGAGAGAGAGAGAGAGAGAGAGAGAGAGAGAGAGAGAGAGAGAGAGAGAGAGAAAGAAAGAGAGAGAGAGAGAGAGAGAUAGCGAGAGAGAUCCAAGCCGGCGCACGCUCUCUCUUUUGCUGCUACAACGGAUCCUUUCCACAUCGACGCUACUGUUAACGUCACGCCUCUAAGCCGCGCGCUCGCCCAGCGCUUGCCUUCUCUGUCUUGCUCCUCUCCCCAGUCGGACGCUGCAUUGGCGAGGGGGUGCUGAUCACCACAAGGAGAGGGGGAAAAAAAAACUAGAAAACAAGAAGAAAAAAGAAACAACCCGGAGAGAGGAAGGAGAAACUGCGCACCACCCCUCCUCCCUCUAACCCACCUCGAUCAACCCAGCUACAACAACCCCACUCCUCCCAGCACCCCCUUCCAUCCCCCACCCCACUCCCUCUCUGAAGAAAUUGACGGAUUAUUGGGAAGUGCAAGGGAGGCAGGCUGCAGCUGCUGCUGUGUGUGCUCGCUACUGCUGCUGUGUGCUUCGCAGGGAUGGUGUGUGCGCGUUUACAAUUGCUGCUGUCGCCACCGCGGCUGCCGAUGCUGGAGCGUGUGGCUAGUUAAGAGGAGGAAGAAGCUAAUGAAGGCAGUGUGUGUCGCCUAGCCCUUUCAACCCCCGCUGAGCACUCCUGGAAGAAAAAAAAAAGCACAAAACAUUAAUAAAUAAGAAAAAUCAAGUGGACAUGACGCCACUUUGAGAGGAGGAGCAAGGGGACGAGAGGGAGAGAGAGAGAAAGGCUGUCAGACUGACCAACCGACCAACUGAUUGACCACUAAAAAGUGAACAGAGGAAUACAGAGAGGAGGGGGUCUAUUUUUUCCCCCCCGGGUUGUCAACCUCCCCUCCUAACCAUCGCAAACAAAAGGCAAAGAACACUGAAAAGGACUGUGGAAUUUUUAUUCAACCUUCUCCAAUCCCACCCCCACCUACCUCCCUCUUUUUGUCCUUUCUGCCUUGGCUUUUGGUGCACAGAAAAUUGUGCAUGUGUGUUUGUGUGGUUGCUUGUGCUAUGGAGACCUGUGUAAGGUGUCUAGCGGGGGGAUCAACUGUCGGAUUCCAAGGACAAGCAAGAGAAGAGGAACCAACAGCAAAAAGCGAGCAAGGGAGCACUGCUGCUUUGGGAGCUUGACUGGAUUCCUAUCUGCAAUCUUUUAUUUUCUUUUGCUUUUUUUCUAAAUCAACAAAAGAGGGAAAAACACUCACAGGGCCUUCAAACCUUUCUCUUUGGAUGUGUGGAUUUACAAAAUAGCUCUGGUUAAGUUCUUUGGCACUGAUACCUGUUUUGACAGAGCAAAUAUAAAAAGGCUUUCUUUGCUGCUCUUGGGAUAUACAUACAUCUGAUGUGAAUACCACAGCUCUUUCUGGUUGCAAACUGGAGGGAAGCUAUAUAUCUCAGUUCAAGGACCUGUAAUAAUAACUUGAGGAAUCGUGAAGCCAUUUGAAAGAGGAAGCAAGGCAAGAUGCACCUACUUACCCACAGCCCAGAGAGCCUGGAGAGGGAGGGAAAGGAAAGGAUGAGAGAUUACAGUUUGAGGAGGAAGAAGAUAAAGUGGUAUAGAAAUUAAGAUGUAGGAAAGAAAAGUUAUGUGGGAAGGGAAACCAGUUUGGGUUACAAAAGGGAGCAGAUCUGAGGAGCAAAGAGCAAACAGCAAUGGAAAAGACAAUAUAUACACAGAAAUGGGUCAUGGCUGGAUAAGAUGGCUGAUGGUACAUAGAAGUGUUUCUGGGGGACUAAAAGAAAAAGAUAUGAGAAUGAGAAGUGAGAGGUGAAGGGGGAAGGGAAUUAAGGGAGAAUCAGGCCACAAUGAAAACAACAAGUAGGGAGGGAGAAGAAAUAAAGCAAAAACAGAAAAGAAAAAAAAGAGACAGAAGAAGUGAAAAUUGAUUGAAAUAAAAUGAAAAUGAGAGAAAAAGAAGAAGAGCUUGAGCUACCAGAAGAGGAGAAAGCAAAGCACUAAGAGUGAGAGGAAGAAAGCAAAGGCGCUUAGGAAAAGAGUAAGCAGAGCAAAUGUGAUGCAAGAGUGCCAGCUACAGAUAGAAUAGGGGAUAUAUAGGCUGGCCAUCAUGCCUUCAUGAUUGGUGAAUGGCCUGGACUGCACCACAAGGGGUAUGGUGGUGGUGGGGUGUUACCAUAGCACAGUGCAGCAGAUAAGAAGUGCUGAUACCACUAAUGGACUGGACCACUACUGAUACUUGAGAAAGAGAGACCGGUGAAUAUGAUGGCAGAGAGGAUGGGAGGAUCAAGAGGUCAGUGCAAAUGGAACUGCAGGGACGAUAACUGCCACAGUGCAACCAUGUGCAUGUGUAUGUGUUUUGAGUGUGAUCAAAAGGACAUGGAAUUUAACAGUCCUUAAACUGGCAGUAAAAAACAAACAAUACACUUUCUCCCCCAUUCAAUUUAAAAGCUCAAUCUCAACUUAAAAAGGGUUCGUAGGACAUUUUGAAAUCCAAUUAUUUUGAUGCAAUCUCUUAAUUUGAUAUUUUUUCUCAUUGUAAAUUACUAUGCACUGAGGCGCCGAAGAUGGCAGUAAUAAAAUGUUAUUCCAUUAAAAUGACCUAAACCAAUAGGCAUUAUAAUUUCAAUUGAAUCUGCCAAUUUUCAGCCCUUCACUCAAUCAUGUAAGUAGAAACAUUGAAACAUGUUCAACUUCUGUCAAAGAGGCAAUAUUUUACAUUGUUCGAUCAGUGUCUGCUAAAAUGUAUCUAGAAGUGUUUGCUAGAAUUUCUAAUGAUUAAUUGGAAACAAUCAGACUUUAACCUUUAACCAGAUAAAAACCAGUUGACAUAAUAUAUCUUUUUCCAUGGUGACAAGAAGGCAGCAAAGUUACACGUUGAGUGUACACCAAUUACAUACAUACAUACAAUAAAAUACAAAACAAUACAUUAAAAGUGGUACAGAACAGCUAAUAUCCACAUAUUAACAGCAGGGGUUAAAUGAGCACAGAAAGUUCAAUCAAUCUCUGUUAAAAAUGUGCUCAAAACUACAGUAUAUUAACAGAUUAUAGAAAUAUGGUGGCACAACUAUAUUUAUGCAUUCCUGGGACCUUGGUUCCACUCAUGCAGGUGUUUUACGGGGCUGAACUAAAUAGUGAAUUUCCAUACACUUAGGAUUGCUACAUCUUUGUCUUGGCGUAGUUGUCUAUAUACAGGAACAGCAAGGAUAAAAGGUGCUUCUUAACCCAUUAGCCUUUUCUGCUUGAUACAUGCAUUUUUUUAACAUGCCUGUUCUAUUGAUAUGAAGUGCCUUGCAUGUUGAGUUUUAUGUGAUUUAUGUUUUUGAGAAAAGCCUGCAAGUUGUGCAUAAUCAUAAGCUGGAAAUUUGUUUCAUUCUUUGCUGAAUAUCAAUGUGGAGUGGAGAAGCAGGACCAGCAAUUUUUUAAUGGCAGCCUUAUUAUAUGAUUCAAUUACCUAAUUUACCUGGACUUUGCUACCAAUUGCUGUAAUUGUGUUUUCAUGCAGUUCUAUUUUCUAAGCUUUUGAUUGAUUAUUGAUAAUUAACAUUCUGUAGCCAACGGUAGAUUAGGGAAACAGCCUAAAAUCCGCAUCCCUAGUUCAAGAUAGGGAUGUGUGCUACAUGGCGCAUGUGGUAGGAUUUUUGUGUGAGCACUAGCUAGUGUGCUAGUGGAGCAGACAGGAGGCUAUUCUAAGCAGGCCUAGGAGCGCGCUGCUUUGUGAGUCAACAUGAGUCAGGGCCAUGAGUUGUUUGGUCCUAAUGUCAAAUACAGGGACUGGGAUGGGAUGCAGAGUCAAAGGUACUCACCCUACCUUGAAUAUUUGGCUUUAUCACGUUAUCUUUGCUUAGUAAAUGAUUAAACAAACAAUAUUUUCUAUAUUGAAAAUACAUUUUAUAUACAGCGCAUUAUACAUGUUCAUUUUCUUUGAAAUAUCAAGAAACAUAAAGCAAGAAGGUAGAGGUGAGGAAAUGGUGAAAGGCAAGUUGAUGUUUGCUGGUGCAUCUGACUUUGACCAUGUGAAAACUAAUGCAAAUAGCCAUAUUCAGUGACCAGCUGGUGGUAUGAUUUGUUGUUACGGAGGUCACCAGAGGCAGAAGAAACAUUUUCAUCACAGUAAAAUGUUGGCAAUGAGCCCAGUGCCGUCGAGGAUGUAGUGUUAAAUAGGUGCAUGCCAACAGAUUUUACUGGAUAUAUACCAUGGUCAAAUUAACACAGAUUUUGUUGUUAAAACUGAGACUGAAUGGCAGGUGGGUUGUGUGAGCUAUUUUUGCCAUGUAGAGGACCACUCAAGUGUGUUACUCCCUGUGUUUUCUUAGCAGCCAGCGACGAUGAAGCCUUACUUUUAUGAUCCUGUCCAGUAGCUGAGGCCCAGGUGUGUGUAUGUAGUAAAUCACGUCCACUGAGAGCAGUAAACGACGGACUGAAACAUAUGUGAGGAGGGGGUGUGUUGAGGGUGUUGUGUGCACACAAACACACACAAAGUCAUGCACAUACACACAGAGCAAAAAAUGAAGCCAUUGACCAUUAAUUUCACUGCUUUUGUUGAAAUUUACAGCCUGGAGAGAAAUCAUGAUCAUAGGCGCAGCAUCACCAAGGAUACUGUGAUACUGUGCUCAGGAUCAGCCCUCAUUCACUCACUCACAAGCAGAAAUACAUACACACACUAACACAACAGAAUAAAUAUCCAAAGCCACCCAGUUAAAAUGCCGUCUUUUGAAUUCUCACUGUAUUAAUAUGUUGGUUCGAUAUCAUUUAUAACUGAAAUAAGCACAAGCUCCCCAAUUCUGCUUCUGUUUAAUAAAAGGUUUGAGGCAGCUUAUUAAUGGGCUUAAACAGAGUGCAAAAAGGCAACUGUGCUGACCAUCAAAAGCCAUGAUAUACAGUAAGAGAUGUCUGUAUUUUCUUCUGAAAUUAUCAAUUUGUACUGCCUUUAUUUAGUACAUCUUCCUGCCUUGGGUAUGGACUGUGUUUAAGCACAGUGAGAGGCUGUAGCUGAAUCUAGCUUUUGUUAUGCACAAUUAAAUAUUAAAAAAAGAAUAGGGUUGGGGAUGGAAAGAUAGUGAACCUAUCCUUUGACAACAUUACUGUUUCAAAAUGCUUUGCUAAUCAUCAAGUAUUUCUUAUCACCUUGCCAUAGAAACAGCAGUACAUGUAUACUGUAGUAUAUGCAGUUUACUGAAGAGUGUGAAACCUCCCUUCCUUCCUGUAAUUUCACCAUUUAUUCAGACUUUUACAUCUAUGUUCUUGUGUAAAGACUCCACUAUUAAGCUGCACAGAUUUCCAUGGCACUCCUACAUGUUCCCAUGCAAAUGCAGUCAAAGAAAGACAUCAAGAAAGACAUACACAGUGUGCUGAUAAGAAAAUCUUUGCUUUCAUAUUGCAUGUACAGUCUAAGGAAAGAAGUGAGGAACAGGAUUUCAUCUUUUCUAGGAUGAGAAUGAGUGAAUCUGGGUGUAGACAUUUUGGUGAUUGUGGAGGGGUGGAAUUGGGGUGACAAAAUGGCCUCCUGCAUUGCUCAAGAUAUGAGAAGAAAGGAGACAGUGAGAAAAACAGACAAGGGUAAGAGAAUUAACUCAGGUGGAUAGUGAGGGCGACACAUUAUCUAUGACACCCUGAUUUGGUAUGUCAGAGGAUAGCGGUGCUAAAUGGAAAGAGGACACAGAGAGAGACUUGGGCAAGAAAAGGAGAGUGAAGGAGGGAGACGAGGGGCAAGGAUGAGGAACAAAGAGCAAUACAGAUGAGAAAGAAAGAGCAGAAUUGAAAAGGUGACUGCAAUAGAUAUGAAGCCCCUAUCUGACACAUUAAGGAGAGCUCAGUAUUCGUUCUUUAGUAACUGUAGGAUCAUGAAUUUACACUGAUGUGGACUUCAAGAUGACUAGCAGUGUGCUAAUGUCAAAGAAAACUGCACUGCUGAGCACAGAAUGGCACAUGAAAGCAACAUCAAGAUGAAAGCUCCGAUGAGCUGCGUAGCGCAUCCAUGGGUUGAAACAGUUUUCAUGCGGUGGCAGUAUUAUUCAGCCGAUGCACCAAACUGCUCUGUGUGUUUGAAUGUGUGUGCGCAGUUAGGUCAGCAGUGAUCUUUAAAGAUCAAACAAAUUAAUAGCCAACCUCUGUCCAACCUGUUUGCAGUCGACAAGUAAAGCUUUACUGCAUUGUAGGUAGUGAAGUCUUUUUGCCUCCACUUGAGUUUUUAUUAUUUAGGGGGCAUUUGGAAAUUUGUCAGGAUUUGUUAAUUUACUUUAUCUCAGCAGAAUAAAAUUUAGAUGCAACUCCAAUACUUAAAACAGAACGGGAGGGGAAAUAAGCUCAAAAGCUGUUUUUAUGAGGCUGUGGGGUCCAGGUGCUGAUCCCAGCCACAAGUUUUAAUUGAUCCCAAAUAAAUGGUGUCUCCAAAGGUGCUAGUUUAAAAUACAGUCCUUAAUAGAAAAGGAUGUGGGUUUGCUGGCAGAUCUAAGGCAGCAGUGAAACAAUAAGACAAACAUUUAGCUCAUUCCUUUUUCUCUUUAAUUCUGACUUCAAAUAAAUCUUGUUGGACUUCAGCAUAAAGAAGAAAAGAAGAGAGCUGUGAAGUAGUCUGUUUGUGGAUUUGUGUGUGGUGUAGGGGACACAUUUGUUUGAAUUUGUAUUGCACAUGUAGAAAAAAAAACAUGUUCAUUUGCAUACAUGUAGCAGUUAUCAUUGUUGAGUUAAUGUCCAAUGUCCAGCGGGUUUUGGUCUUGUGUUUAGAUGGGAUUCAGCCCUGUAAAACACUUGAAAUACAGAUGUGUGAUUGCAUGCUGUCUAUGUGAAAGAGCUUGUGUAGGAGUCUCUGCAGGUGAACCUGUGCCAGUCUAGCUAUGCCACCUCCACAUAAAAACUGAUCAAAGUAUAUGCCAUCCCACAAACAGACAGCAAAGAGUAUUUCAAUCCAGUAGCUGCUUAUUUAUGUCAGACAAGGAGACAACACUUUAACUUUGUGAGAUCCUCUACAGCUGCAUUGGGACAACCUAAAAAGUAAGUUAUUGGAGGAAGAAAUGAUAAACAUAAAAAUGUAUUUUAUUAAAUUUAAGUUGGAACUUUUAUACCUGGCAAAUAUAUACAUAAAAGGAAGGGCACCGCUACAAGAAAAGGAAUUGGAGGGAUUGAAAUUUCUGACAACACAACUACAAUAAACCAAUUGUUCAGGACAUAUCCUUCAUCACCACAUGUUAAGUGUCAGUAUGUCUACACCUACAUUUCAUGUGCAGUGAUGUGGGCAUCAGGGAGGAUUUAUUUUACAUAUUUAUUUCCAUUAGCAGAGCAGAAGUUUUCCAUGAACAAUAAUUGUUUUCAUGGCAGUGUUAAGCAUAUCAGAACCAAGAACUUUUCAACAGGAGGUGAAUCAGAGGCGCUGUGUGGCCCCAAGCUGAGUGCGACCUCGUCGGCCUGGCUGAUGUAAGAGUAUCUGCCCAAUGGGGAAGCCAAUAAUUAGACAGCCAGUUAUACUGCUUCUCUCCCCUCACCACUCUCUUGUCCCUCAUUCCAGCUAAUUAAACACAACCAGACACAUCAAAGACAUAUAUGUGCAAGCAGGCCUGUGUUUGUCCAUCAAUUGCAGUUAUGUUGUUGCAGUAAAAUGACUUCCAAUUUUUUCAAUAGUUGGGGAUGUACUUGAGCAGUGUAAACAUGAGGGAAAGAAAUAAAAUUAGUAUCAUGAAACAGUGAUAUGAGAAGCAGAAGGCCUAUAGAGUUAGUAAUCUAAUGGGAGUGGAAUACUAUGAGAAGGAGACAUGGAUGUGGCUCAGCUCAUGGGAUGAGUGUUGAGAGGGAGUAAAGGUGUAGAAGGUGAAAAUA